This 548-nucleotide ribosomal RNA is filed under the name Kluyveromyces marxianus. RNAcentral describes it as "partial large subunit ribosomal RNA". It matches the Rfam family "Eukaryotic large subunit ribosomal RNA", at positions 67 to 633 of the family's 3401-position model. The record is from RNAcentral. Lineage: Eukaryota; Fungi; Ascomycota; Saccharomycetes; Saccharomycetales; Saccharomycetaceae.
CACCGGGAUUGCCUUAGUAACGGCGAGUGAAGCGGCAAAAGCUCAAAUUUGAAAUCUGGCGUCUUCGACGUCCGAGUUGUAAUUUGAAGAAGGCGACUUUGUAGCUGGUCCUUGUCUAUGUUCCUUGGAACAGGACGUCAUAAGGGUGAGAAUCCCGUGUGGCGAGGAUCCCAGUUAUUUGUAAAGUGCUUUCGACGAGUCGAGUUGUUUGGGAAUGCAGCUCUGAGUGGGUGGUAAAUUCCAUCUAAAGCUAAAUAUUGGCGAGAGACCGAUAGCGAACAAGUACAGUGAUGGAAAGAUGAAAAGAACUUUGAAAAGAGAGUGAAAAAGUACGUGAAAUUGUUGAAAGGGAAGGGCAUUUGAUCAGACAUGGCGUUUGCUUCGGCUUUCGCUGGGCCAGCAUCAGUUUUAGCGGUUGGAUAAAUCCUCGGGAAUGUGGCUCUGCUUCGGCAGAGUGUUAUAAUCCGUGGGAAUACAGCCAGCUGGGACUGAGGAUUGCGACUUUUGACAAGGAUGCUGGCGUAAUGGUUAAUGCCGCCGCUGGAAUA